AGGGCGGUUCUCGGUGGUUUUUUUUGCUAGCAUUUUUUUCUGCCCACAUUCCCACGUCCAUCCACAAAACUAGGGCAGAUGAUUAUCAACUGAACAAUUUUCUCUUCCAAAAAUAACUGUAAAUUGGGUAGUUUACGGCAGUUGCUAAAAUUGUUCCUAAUUUCCAGGCUUUUAGCUAAAAAAUAGCAUCCACUCUCUCCUAAUUUGCGGUGGUUUACGGUGGUUUCCUGAUCGUGGAGACUUUCUCCGUCUUUCUCUGCUACUGCAACCGUAUACUAUCUCCUUUAUAUUCCACAAAAAUUUCAGUAUUUCUAUUUCUAUUGAAACGCAUCUUCUCCACCAUUACUCCCUCCUUCGUGACGGCAUGACAGUGAUUCCAGAGAGAACAUAAAUGAUGACACAGACAUUGAUCGUCCAACUAAUAGUCGUUCUGAAUAGUACAAACGACCUAAUCCUUCUUCUUCGCGGCCACCUUCAAAGUGAUAACAAGCGUCGUGGUACAAGCCCUAGCCCUCCUCUACCUCCGUAUCUUGACCGUCAUGGUGGACACUCUUCAUCUCCUCAAAAAUCAUCUCCAUUUACUUCGUUUAAGCGGUUCUGCACAGACAAUCGCGGCUACGAUGGUCGUGGCAGGCCUUGCUAAGGUUUCGGAUCUGGUGAUAAAAGUUCUAUUCAACUCAAAUUAUCUGAAUUCUGUAAUAUGCCUUACAAAAUUCGUACUCAAUGGAGCUUAAUAUUGAAGAGGGUUACCGCGGUGAAAACGGAGAUUUAUCAACAUGAGAAACAUGGAUGUAUUUAUAAUGGAAAGAAUUGAUGGAGAACAAAGAUUAUAGAAGAACUGAAAUGAAGAUGACGAUUUUGAAUUCAAAGCUUGAAUUGGAGAAAAUGUCACGCUUUCAAACGUCUCAUUCAGGGGCGGUUUAGCAUGGGAGUCAUUCAGGUGCACUGUAUCUUUCCUAUUUGCCUUUGAUGCAAGUUUUAGGCAAUUCAUAAGAGUAAAAAGGAAAAGGAGGUCUAUGCUGAAAUGAUAUACAAGAGUAGAUAUUUCAAGGUUCUUAUCAGUGAUCAUUGUUGAUAUAUUAGUAGGCAUGGAAGCUAGGCACAAGGAAGAAAAUGAUCACUAACUGAUCAAAAAAUUGGAUGAACAGUUCAUAGAAAAGAAGUAGAACCUGAUCAGGAAAAAGUUGAUGCUUGUGAUAUGUGUGCUCGCCCAUCAAAUAGACCAGAAACACAUGAAGAACUUGCAUAAGACGACAAAGAGCGAUUAGAACAUUUGGAGGCAAAGACGUUAAUGGCAUUUCUGCAACUAACUUGGGUAGAUUCAUCUUGGUUAGAAAGAAUGGUAUGUGAUAUCAUCCACUGGGCAGCCAUGGGAACUAUCUUCAUUAGUUUCUCUUGACACAACUGAAAGAAUGUCACCAUCUUAUAGGACAUAUGAAAGAGAAACUCAUUGAUGCGGUUCAUAUUGGUGACAUGAAAAUCCUCAAGAUCUUGCUUAAUCUCAGGAAUGACCCGCUGCGACUUGUGUAAGGUUAGAAAUAAUCAUUCCUCUAGAUUGUUAUUCUCUUUAAUGAUCAUGCAUACCAUAUCUAAAGCAUUUGCAGUUCCACAACUUUUUAGUAUGUUCAGUUAUGAUACAAAUAUGUGUUUGUUUACAUGUUAUGAACAUGUGAAGUGUUUUGCUUAACGAGGUAUUUCAGUGUAGUACAUUGAAAUACCAGACAAGAGACGGGUCAAAUGGUUGGUAAUUGCAAAAGUUAUCAAAACUCUUUGUUGGGUUAAUCGGUUUGUUCGCGGGUCACAGGUUAGCAGGUUAGCAGUGAGUUUUAACAGGUCAGUAGACCUAGUCUUGGUCUCGGUUUGACCUGGUUCUGGGGGGAUAUGGACCAAGUUUUUACAUUUGAUGUUUAUGUGUUUAUUACAAAUAGGAUAGCAGUGGUUUUUCUAUGGUACACUUUAACUCUGGCUAUAUUUGUUUCAAGCAAUAAAGGAGUAAUAAAUUCAUUUUCAUUC
Helianthus annuus (common sunflower) is the source of this 2013-nucleotide long non-coding RNA. RefSeq lists it as uncharacterized. The record is from RefSeq and is a predicted model, not a curated record. The transcript has 10 exons. NCBI's taxonomy places the organism in Eukaryota, Viridiplantae, Streptophyta, Magnoliopsida, Asterales, Asteraceae.